UGGCUCAGUGGUUAAGAGCACUGACUGAUAUUCCAGAGGUCCUGAGUUCAAUUCCCAG
Molecule: transfer RNA, 58 nt
Filed under: Rattus norvegicus (Norway rat)
Lineage: Eukaryota; Metazoa; Chordata; Mammalia; Rodentia; Muridae
Rfam family: tRNA
About the family: Transfer RNA (tRNA) molecules are approximately 80 nucleotides in length. Their secondary structure includes four short double-helical elements and three loops (D, anti-codon, and T loops). Further hydrogen bonds mediate the characteristic L-shaped molecular structure. tRNAs have two regions of fundamental functional importance: the anti-codon, which is responsible for specific mRNA codon recognition, and the 3' end, to which the tRNAs corresponding amino acid is attached (by aminoacyl-tRNA synthetases). tRNAs cope with the degeneracy of the genetic code in two manners: having more than one tRNA (with a specific anti-codon) for a particular amino acid; and 'wobble' base-pairing, i.e. permitting non-standard base-pairing at the 3rd anti-codon position.
Source: Rfam by way of RNAcentral